This 67-nucleotide transfer RNA is filed under the name Diachasmimorpha longicaudata. RNAcentral describes it as "tRNA-Met". Lineage: Eukaryota; Metazoa; Arthropoda; Insecta; Hymenoptera; Braconidae. The record is from RNAcentral.
AUAAAGAUAAGCUAUAUUUAAGCUUUUUGGUUCAUACCCUUAAUAUAGAUUUUUAAUCUUCUUUAUA